This 258-nucleotide long non-coding RNA is filed under the name Malus domestica (apple). Its description in RNAcentral is "long non-coding RNA (MDOM_LNC021050)". The record is from RNAcentral. Lineage: Eukaryota; Viridiplantae; Streptophyta; Magnoliopsida; Rosales; Rosaceae.
AGGCACAUAAUAUUUAUCCUUCUCCUGACCAUAACUUCCACUACUUCCAUAGAUUUUCCCAUUAGGGUUCCUAUAUUCCACAUUCCUAAACGCAUUCUACUCUCUUGAACUCUACCCUUCUGUCCUAGCUUCUUCAACCUUCCCUGUCUAAUAGGAUCAAAGUACUUCUUUUGUGUGUCCUGUGUAAAGUUGAUAGGAGCAUAUGCUCCCAACCAACUUUGAGUGGAGUCGUUCGAAAAGAAGUUUCUAUGGCCCCCU